AGUGAACGCUGGCGGUAGGCCUAACACAUGCAAGUCGAACGGCAGCACAGUAAGAGCUUGCUCUUACGGGUGGCGAGUGGCGGACGGGUGAGGAAUACAUCGGAAUCUACUUUUUCGUGGGGGAUAACGUAGGGAAACUUACGCUAAUACCGCAUACGACCUACGGGUGAAAGCAGGGGAUCUUCGGACCUUGCGCGAUUGAAUGAGCCGAUGUCGGAUUAGCUAGUUGGCGGGGUAAAGGCCCACCAAGGCGACGAUCCGUAGCUGGUCUGAGAGGAUGAUCAGCCACACUGGAACUGAGACACGGUACAGACUCCUACGGGAGGCAGCAGUGGGGAAUAUUGGACAAUGGGCGCAAGCCUGAUCCAGCCAUACCGCAUGGGUGAAGAAGGCCUUCGGGUUGUAAAGCCCUUUUGUUGGGAAAGAAAAGCAGCAGGUUAAUACCCCGCUGUUCUGACGGUACCCAAAGAAUAAGCACCGGCUAACUUCGUG
Molecule: ribosomal RNA, 492 nt
Filed under: uncultured bacterium
Lineage: Bacteria
Description: partial 16S ribosomal RNA
Rfam family: Bacterial small subunit ribosomal RNA
Source: RNAcentral